Molecule: small RNA, 241 nt
Filed under: Pogona vitticeps (central bearded dragon)
Lineage: Eukaryota; Metazoa; Chordata; Lepidosauria; Squamata; Agamidae
Description: MEST intronic transcript 1, antisense RNA conserved region 2 (ENSPVIG00000004950.1)
Source: RNAcentral
UCAUCAUCCUUUAACUUGACCCCAUUGUUGUGUGUCCUGCACUCUGGGAUGAUUGGGAACAGAUCUUGCCCCUCCCCUGUAUGACAGCCUUUCAAGUAUUUGAAAAGUGCUAUCAUAUCUCCCUUCAGUCUUCUUUUCUCAAGGCUAAACAUGCCCAGUUUUUCAGCCUUUCCUCAUAGGAGGAAAGACUGAGAAGCAGCAGCAGCAUUAGUGAGCAUAACAGCACAUAAAACUGCAAUGG